CCUACGGGGGGCAGCAGUGAGGAAUAUUGGUCAAUGGACGCAAGUCUGAACCAGCCAUGCCGCGUGCAGGAAGACGGCUCUAUGAGUUGUAAACUGCUUUUGUACGAGGGUAAACGCAGUUACGUGUAGCUGUUUGCAAGUACCGCAUGAAUAAGGAUCGGCUAAUUCCGUGCCAGCAGCCGCGGUAAUACGGAGGAUUCAAGCGUUAUCCGGAUUUAUUGGGUUUAAAGGGUGCGUAGGCGGUCGGAUAAGUUAGAUGUGAAAUCCCGAGGCUCAACUUCGGAAUUGCCUCUGAUACUGUUCGGAUAGAGAGUAGUUGCGGUAGGCGGAAUGUAUGGUGUAGCGGGGAAAUGCUUAGAGGUCAUACAGAACACCGAUUGCGAAGGCAGCUUACCGGCGCCCAACUGACGCUCAUGCACGAAAGCGUGGGUAUCGAACAGGAUUAGAUACCCGAGUAGUC
Molecule: ribosomal RNA, 460 nt
Filed under: uncultured bacterium
Lineage: Bacteria
Description: partial 16S ribosomal RNA
Rfam family: Bacterial small subunit ribosomal RNA
Source: RNAcentral